CAAAGAAGUAUUCGGCUAGUUGCCUACUUUCUACUCUAGGCGUACAUGGUCUUUAGUAUACUUGUUAUACUUUUACUCAACAUGUACUUUUUAUUAAUGGUAAGUCUAGUAAAUUGUCGUAAAAAUAGUUUGGAGUAUUUCAUUCAAAAUGAUUGAUGAACAGACGUCUUUGGGGUCACUUGAUCAAUCAUAAGGAUAAUUCAGUUGAGACUUUCUGUAAGUGUGAAUAUCAACAUGAAAUGCAGUUGCGGUCAAAUGAGUGAUUGAAUCCGCAUGUUGAGGCACUCUUGGCGGUCAAUUCUGGCUCGUCUCCCCGGCCCAGCUGCCUGAAGGGCGGCCCCGCUUCAUGGCUGCCACCGGCCGCCCGCCCCGUGGGUGUGUUUAGACAAAAAUGGACCAGGCAUCCACCUGCUCGCGCGCGCCCUCCCGUCACACCCUACUUUCAACACCGUCACCGCGGGCUGAUCAUCUUCACUCCGCGAGGACUUUUUCGUGUUUCUUUUUAAUUCAUUCACUCUGUUUGAUUCUGGUUUCCUCUCAUUCAUGUUAACGGUCGACACUGACGCUCCCCGCUGACUCAUUGUGUUGAACGAGCCUCUUUUUCGGUUGGCAGUGAUUUCUUUUUCUUUUUUUCUUUUCUUCUUGACACAAGUGUGAAGCGAGCGCGCACGCGGCAGGUACGGACCGCCCCACCCCUCAAAGAAAAAAAAAAGCAUGUAAAAGCCGCGCGGGGGUUUCUGUCACAAUUAUUUGUGAACUUAGAGACGGAGUGCCUCCUUCUUCUGUUGGAAUUUUAUGUUUGGAUCCGAGUUUAUAUUCGAAAAACAGAGUUAUAGAAGGUAAACAACUCUUAGUAUAUCUGGAGGUUUUUCCACUAUGGAUCUGGAAGCUCUGAGGACGCUCCAUGCCCUCCUGGUGCUGUCUGGUUUGGCUCUUGGGAAUCAGUGGAGCAAUGAGGUUCUGGCUGCACCCAGGGUCUUUAUUUCCUUCAAAGAACUAAGAUCUUCGGGAACCGCUCAUCAGUUUGCCUACUUGAUCAACACAUCCGACUUCCGGAUCCUGCGUAUGGAUGAGGACCAUGACCACAUGUAUGUUGGCAGCAAGGACCACAUCCUGUCCCUGGACCUUCAUGAUGUCAACAGGAACCCACGUAUUAUCCAUUGGCCUGUGUCUGAACGAAGGAGGAUGGAAUGUCUCGUAAGUGGAAAAGAUGCCUUUGACGAAUGUGCAAACUUCAUUCGUCUCAUUGAACCGUGGAAUCGAACCCAUCUGUACGUCUGUGGAACAGGCGCUUACAAUCCAGUGUGUACCUUUGCCAACCGUGGACACAAAACCCAGACAUCCAUGUAUCUGCAGAUGGCACAGGCCAAAGGAAGGGCUAGCCGUGCAGCUGAGCCCAGUGCUGUGCACGAGACACUCGGACUGAAGGAAGAAAUUUUCCAUUUGGAGCCAGGCACAGUGGAAUCUGGGAAGGGAAAGUGCUCAUACGACCCGAAGCUCAACAGUGUGUCAGCUUUAAUCAAUGGUGAACUGUAUGCUGGCGUCUAUGUUGACUUCAUGGGAACGGAUUCCGCCAUCUUCCGUACUUUGGGGACAAAGACCGCCAUGCGAACGGAUCAGUACAACUCCAGAUGGUUAAAUGACCCCACGUUCAUCCAUGUUCACCUCAUUCCAGAUAGCGCAGAGAAAAACGAUGACAAGCUUUAUUUUUUCUUCCGAGAGAAGUCCUCAGACAUGGGCCAGAGUCCCGUCACUCAGUCUCGGAUUGGACGCAUCUGUCUGAACGACGAUGGAGGUCACUGCUGUCUGGUCAACAAGUGGAGCACCUUCCUGAAGGCCCGGCUCAUCUGCUCUGUGCCUGGAGCUGACGGCACGGAAACGCACUUUGAUGAGCUCCGUGACGUUUACAUCCAGCCCACGCAGGACACCAAAAACCCAGUCAUUUACGGUGUCUUUUCUGUCUCUGGGUCUGUGUUCAAGGGAUCGGCUGUUUGCGUGUACUCUAUGGCUGACAUUCGCAUGGUCUUCAAUGGACCCUUUGCUCACAAGGAGGGGCCCAGUUACCAGUGGGUGUCUUAUACUGGGAAGAUUCCUUACCCCCGACCAGGCACAUGCCCUGGAGGUACGUUCACCCCCAACAUGAAGUCCACAAAGGAUUACCCAGAUGAAGUCAUUAACUUCAUGAGGAAUCAUCCCGCCAUGAACAAUGCUGUGUACCCAGUACACAAGCGCCCACUAGUGGUCCGUACCAAAGUGGACUAUGAGUUCACCACCAUUGCAGUGGACCAGGUGGCGGCUGCAGAUGGCAACUAUGAGGUGCUCUUCUUAGGAACCGACAAGGGAACAGUUCAGAAACUGAUUGUGCUGCCCAAAGAUGACCUGCAGACGGAGGAACUGGUUCUGGAGGAGGUGGAGGUUUUCAAGGUCCCGACUCCAAUAACGACAAUGAAGAUCUCAUCCAAAAGGCAACAGUUGUAUGUGUCGUCUGCUGUGGGGCUGACCCAGCUGGCGCUUCAUCGCUGUGACAUGUACGGCGAAGCCUGCGCCGAUUGCUGUCUGGCUCGAGAUCCUUAUUGCGCCUGGGAUGGAAAGUCCUGUUCACGGUAUUCCACCUCUCAAAAGAGUCGGGUUCUGAAGACGGAACAGGGGCUGCUCUUGCGCUCUCUGCAGCUUUCGGACUCCGGCUUGUACCAAUGCACAGCCACAGAGAAGAACUUUAAACACACGCUGGUCAAGCUGCAGCUGGUGGUGCUGUCGAAUCGGGCCAUCAACAACGCUCUGGUAGAUGGCGGUGGGGGGCUAGCGUCUCUGCACGCCAAUGCAGGCCAGUACAAGGACUUGCUGACCAUUUUGACCCAGCCAGAAAUGAGCCUGAUCAAUCAGUACUGUCAGGACUACUGGCAGUUUGGAGACCCUCUGCUGGGCGCCCUCAAGCCUAAAGACCUGAGGGAGCUGAAGGAGCAGAAGAAGCCUCGCAAUCGCCGGCAUCAUCAGAGCGGCAGGGAGGGAAAGGAGCACCAGGAAGCAGAGACAUGA
This is a long non-coding RNA of Oryzias sinensis (Chinese medaka), 3036 nucleotides long. The record is from Ensembl. Lineage: Eukaryota; Metazoa; Chordata; Actinopteri; Beloniformes; Adrianichthyidae.